RNAcentral lists this ribosomal RNA (478 nucleotides) under uncultured bacterium. RNAcentral's name for it is "SSU rRNA". It matches the Rfam family "Bacterial small subunit ribosomal RNA", at positions 26 to 518 of the family's 1533-position model. The record is from RNAcentral.
AGGACGAACGCUGGCGGCGUGCCUAACACAUGCAAGUCGAACGAGGUCCAAGAGAGCUUGCUCUCUGAAGACCUAGUGGCGAACGGGUGAGUAACACGUGAGCAACCUGCCCUGGAAUCGGGGAUAACUCGAGGAAACUCGAGCUAAUACCGGAUACCUUCCCCUGGCCGCAUGACCGGGGGAAGAAAGAAUUUCGUUCCAGGAGGGGCUCGCGGCCUAUCAGUUAGUUGGCGGGGUAACGGCCCACCAAGACUACGACGGGUAGCUGGUUUGAGAGAACGAUCAGCCACACUGGGACUGAGACACGGCCCAGACUCCUACGGGAGGCAGCAGUGGGGAAUCUUGCGCAAUGGGCGAAAGCCUGACGCAGCAACGCCGCGUGCGGGAUGACGGCCUUCGGGUUGUAAACCGCUUUCAGCAGGGACGAAAUGACGGUACCUGCAGAAGAAGCCCCGGCUAACUACGUGCCAGCAGCCGC